GAUGAACGCUAGCGGCAGGCUUAACACAUGCAAGUCGAGGGGUAACGAUGAGUGCUUGCACUCAGGCGACGACCGGCGAACGGGUGCGUAACGCGUAUAGAAUCUGCCUUGUACAGGAGGAUAGCCUUUAGAAAUGAAGAUUAAUACUCCAUAAUGUUAUUUGGUGGCAUCAUUAAAUAAUUAAAGAUUUAUCGGUACAAGAUGACUAUGCGUCCUAUUAGUUAGUUGGUAAGGUAACGGCUUACCAAGGCGGCGAUAGGUAGGGGGUCUGAGAGGAUUAUCCCCCACACCGGUACUGAGACACGGACCAGACUCCUACGGGAGGCAGCAGUGAGGAAUAUUGGACAAUGGGCGCAAGCCUGAUCCAGCCAUGCCGCGUGCAGGAAGACUGCCCUAUGGGUUGUAAACUGCUUUUAUACAGGAAGAAACACCAAUACGUGUAUUGGCUUGACGGUACUGUAAGAAUAAGCACCGGCUAACUCCGUGCCAGCAGCCGCGGUAAUACGGAGGGUGCAAGCGUUAUCCGGAAUCAUUGGGUUUAAAGGGUCCGCAGGCGGUCGAUUAAGUCAGAGGUGAAAUCUCACAGCUUAACUGUGAAACUGCCUUUGAUACUGGUUGACUUGAGUCAUAUGGAAGUGGAUAGAAUAAGUAGUGUAGCGGUGAAAUGCAUAGAUAUUACUUAGAAUACCGAUUGCGAAGGCAGUCCACUACGUAUGUACUGACGCUCAUGGACGAAAGCGUGGGGAGCGAACAGG
RNAcentral lists this ribosomal RNA (755 nucleotides) under uncultured bacterium. RNAcentral's name for it is "bacterial SSU rRNA". It matches the Rfam family "Bacterial small subunit ribosomal RNA", at positions 28 to 776 of the family's 1533-position model. The record is from RNAcentral.